GUCGCUAGUGAGCAGGCUCCGGGAUUAGGGGUGCCUGCUUAAGAUGCCGAGUGACGCUGGGACUCUCCUUCCACAGAGGAGGGCAGACCUGAACAAGGGGUAGUGAUGACGCUGAGAGGCAAGGACCCCCAAAUGCUAGCUCAAUCUCCAGGUCCCCAGGGUUGAAUCCAGCACUCACCCUUUUUCCUCCUAAGGAAGGAGAAUUGGAAUCCUGGCAGAGCUACCGUCUGACUACGUGAGUGAGCAAGUCACUUAAAUUCCCUAAGCCUAGAAUUCUUCUUGUGUAGAAUAUGAAGCAACAAAAUCUUUCGCAGGGAUUAGUCAAGAACCUCCCAACAUCGGGCGUCGCAUGUACUCUGUGCUCUCAAACGCCGCAGAUACAGAAAACAAAGCAUGUGGACAAAUCCCUGAGCAAAGUGAGACUUCCUCCCCAAGGUGACUGCAGGCUGGUGGGCCAGCAGCCUCAGGUAGGGCGGUCUGCAAGGAAGGGAGUGCGUCCGUUCCCUUCCCUGCGGCUGCUUGAAGAAGGCGAAAGGAAACUGCGCGUUGAGCAAGCGCCACGGGUCUCAUAAUGGCCAUCCUUGGUGGGCCCAGGCCGCUUCGCUAAGACAGAAAACCGCCCUACAGGGGGGACGAAAGCUGCUUAAGCCACCGCUUGAAUAGAAAGUAUGUGGCCACCUGAGGCAAUAAUCGUCUUCCGAAUGCUUCUAGAGCGCCCUCUUGGCAACUGGCUCUGAGCUUGGAGGGAAGUGGGCGUGGCAAGAGAGAUAGGAAAGUAGAAGGUAGUGUAGAUCUUCUGGGCUUAUGAGGUGGGGUACACACGCUGCGGGUGCUGGAAGCCCAGGCCCAGAACUCUCCAAAUUGAGGUGGCCCUCUCGCUACCACCAAUCUGGGAAAGGGGAGUUAGCCUCCUCAUCUCAUCUCCAACACCCUUCUUACAAACACUGCUUCAUCCCUCCCCAGAUCCUGACCCCUACAUUUCUCUCUACUAGCCCUUCCCAGCUGCAGGGGAAGCUUUACUGCUCUGUACAAAGAGCAGAUGGAGAGGAUACCAUGCAGAGUGAAUUCAAAUCUCUGUGACCAACUAGCUGUGUGUUGCUGUGAGUUCCUCAGCCUCUCUGAGCCUCUCUGAGCCUCUCUUUCUCUUCUGUGACAUGGAGAUAUUAAUGGCAGUGCUGUUUCCAGGGCUGUGUGAAAUCAUCUCUGCAAAGCACUUAGCUUAGUAUCUGGCACAAAGAAGAAUUGAGGUGAUCAUGGAGGACGUAAUAAGCUCAAGAAGUUCCUGGAGCUCUGAGGCAGAAGAGCAGGCAAGUAGGGGGUGCCCCUGGCAAGCUUCCAGGAUGGGAGCGACUGCGGAGCUAUUCCAUGCUGCUCUGUCAAGGUUGCCUUCCUGUUAGCUGGGGCUGUUUGAUCUAUAAGUGAGAGGCAGGAACCUGAACCAUUAGCUGGGGGACAGUCCUGUCCUUCCUAGCCUACUUUUGCAGCUUCCACAUCCCUUGUCCCUGGGGCCCCUGCCUUGACAGGUUUUUUGUCAUUAGGAAGUACAGAUACCUAUUUUUCCCCAGCCCCGCAUUACCUCAGUCUUUGCCCAUGAAUAAUAUUUUAGGUACUGCAUUUCUCUGUCAUCAUUUUAGGCAAUUUACUGGCUUAUACAAAUAUUGCCCUACUUUAUAAUGUAAAUUUACAACAAACUACUGGCAAACAAUAUUUUCAUAGCACUCUCAUAAUGGAUGAGGUGUUAUUAAAGUCUUAUGGGGAAAAAAGGGAGGUGCAGGUAGUGAAAGUGUCCUCUCAAACUCUUCUUCUCACUCCACUAUAAAUGCUCAUCCCAGCCCUUAGAUACCCUUUCCAGUUCUCCUCUGCACACUCUCAGCACCUACGACCCAACAUGAGGGUGUGCUUCAGGUUACAGGAACUGCUCUGUGGUCUGUGUUCACCCCCUGCCUUGAGUCUCAGUGCUGCCAGCUUCAAGAAUAGGUACCUAGAGACAGCUAAGUCUACAGAACCUAAGUCAGAAAAUAAGAACAGAGUAACAGCUUAUCUAAUUUAAGCACCCAGGACUGCUCCUGCUGCUCCUGCACAGAGGGGCCUGUGAAGAAUGGAGUGGGAACGGGAAAGGAUACUAGAAGGCAGAGGUUUAACACUGGACACAGGCCUCAUGGGAGGACCACACUCACAGAUAAGGGAAAUGGCAGCAACAUAGCGCCUAGUAGAGCAAGCAGUGGCCUGGUGGUUUCAAGACCUCAGAGUAAGGUAUCAGCAUAGUGUGAUAAGGAUAGGAGAGAAAUGGACCUAUUAUGUGGGCACAGGUGUGAUGGGUUAAAGACAUAUUAAGAAUCCUCUCUGUGUUGUGCCCGAGCUAUGACCUUUUAUUGUAAGAAUGAAAUACAGAUGCUCUGUCUCCUGGGGAGAACUAGUCCUUCUCCACGGAAGACUAAGCACCACUGAUUUUUAACUCAGUACCUGUAAACACUGAUCGUGCCCUUGGGGAAGAACUGGGUAUUCUCCCAGAGGGAACAGUUGGUCAGUCGAGUCUUGAAAGGCCCUUGGCAUAUAGCCACUUUUGUCUAAAACUUAUUUAAGCAGAGCCCCCAAAAUGAGACUUGGGAAUCCCACCCUAGGGAAGGGCACUUUGCUCAAACUUUUUCCAGAGGAACACCAAGUGUGGCUGUCUCCAGUAUUCCCCAGUGUCUGUGUUCGGGUGUUGGUGAUUUCCUGUCUGGUGAUGUAUGCUCUUGAUUCUUGCUUUCUCUCUGCUCUUGCUUAAUAAAUUGCUUAACUAUUCACCUU
Molecule: long non-coding RNA, 2790 nt
Organism: Phyllostomus discolor (pale spear-nosed bat)
Lineage: Eukaryota; Metazoa; Chordata; Mammalia; Chiroptera; Phyllostomidae
Exons: 2
Source: RefSeq, a predicted model, not a curated record